Podarcis lilfordi (Lilford's wall lizard) is the source of this 4062-nucleotide non-coding RNA. The record is from the annotation of a GenBank genome assembly. NCBI's taxonomy places the organism in Eukaryota, Metazoa, Chordata, Lepidosauria, Squamata, Lacertidae.
CUGGGUUCUCCCAGCCACUCUGGGUGAUAUCAAACAUUUAAAAGUUCCCUGAACAGGGCUGCCUUCAGAUGUCUUCUAAAAGUCAGAUAGUUGUUUAUUUCCUUGACAUCUGACAGGAGGGUGUUUCACAGGGUGGGCGCAACUACCGAGAAUGAAGAGGAAGAGGAAUGAAAGAAAAUUAUGAGACUGAGGGAAAAAAGAGAAAGAAAGGGACAGCUGAAAAGAGAAAAUGCUAGUGGCCAAUAGUUGAAAGAGAAAGGAGCAGAUAGCAACAGUGUCUCAGUUUAAUAAUAAUUUGAGAUUUUUCAUACAAGAUAAUAUUGUAGCAUUUCAGUAAUAUUUCAUUUAGAGAGCUUUGCAGAGCUCUGCAUGCAAUGCUUAGAAAUGUUUUGCAAGUGUAGCUCUUACCGUUUGCCCUGCGCUUUUCUGGUCUGUUUUUGAGCUCAUUUCUUCUUCCCUGGCGCUUCCCCCUGGAAAACCUGAUCUUUACCACUCAAUCAAAUUGCAAAUAGCAAUUUGGGUUUCCCCUGGAAUGCCGUUUGCUCCGAUUCAGCUGUCAAUAGUGGGAUUUUGCUGGGCAAAAGAGAAGUGUGUUUGUAGUAGCUGUUAGUGCUUACUGUCAACUAUCCUUCAGUGUAUAGUAGGAAUAGUUAUUCAAGAAUGUCGGGAGAUUAAAUUAUUCUACUCCCUUCAGAGCAGCAGAAGUUCCUUACAAUUCCCAAACUCACUACUUUCCUAUGCCUUUUUUAAAUGGUUCAGCACUUUUGAAAUAAACAAUUAUUCUGGAAUCUGGAUAUUAUGGCAUACUGAGGGAGGGAUUUCAAUUUCUAUAUCCCCUUAGCCCCCUCCCCCGUUGAAGUGUUUCUUGUGAUUAACAACCGCAGGAGGGGGGAGAGCUGGGCUACGCUAUCUGGCUGCACCUGCUGCCGGUAUCUCCUGCUUGCCUCAUUCCUUAGCUGUCCACACACUGGUGGAAUAUCUGUCGUGGGGAAGACUUCUAAGUGCCCUCAGGCUCUCCUUCUUGUCUAGAAACUUGUACAGUCAGGAUCCAGAUCACCCAGAGAGUCUAUGCAAGCUGAGCAGGCUUCCUUGUUGCUGACAUUCCCCCAGCAUGUAGCCCCCAGGGACAUGGCAGCUAGCCUGAACCUACCCAUUCAUGUGAUUUCUAUUUGUAUGAGGAAGAACAUGUCAGAGGAAAUGAAGACUCUGGAGCUCUCAAGAACUUUUAUGGGUCAUGCAGCAAGGACAGAUGCACUUGCCUUCUCUUAAAAUGCUUUUACUAGUUCCUGCAGACAGUUAUUUUGUAAACAUUACAGGACCAACGGACAUACAAAUUUCAUUCUGAAUGGAAAUGUGAUUGCUUUUAUUUCCAGUGAAACUUGCACAGGCCAAUCCAUUUUAAAGCUGAAAGCUAUCCUGGAAAGCCGAAAGAUAAAUGUCUCUUGUGAAGAUAAUUACAGGUAAUUUUGUGUACCGGGUUAUCAACAUGUUUUUAAACAGCGAAGGCAAAAUUAGAUGUAUGGAGGGGCAUAAAUCACACAUACCCAUUCACUUGGAUAUAAGGGGAGGGUGGGGAGUCUACCCAAAAAAUUGGAGUGGUGAGCCUUUCUGCCCUUUACCCUAGUUGUUCCUGGGGGUGAGGUUUUUUCAUCCUUUGAAAUUCAAAGUAUGGCCUUUGUGCAAAUAAGAAUCUAGAGAUGGAAUAGUGUCAUAACUGCUUAAUUUCUUAAAGGAGACGUUUCAGUAGGGCGUUUCAGUUCAGAAAAGCUUUGAUUCCUCUGUAAGAGCUGAGUGUUAGCUCUUGGUGCUUCUGCAGCCCAGCCUGUUUUUUGCUGAAGUAGCGGCACCAAAGUGACCUCCCCAGAGUGCAAGCCGGGGCAGUGUUGAUGGAGGUUCUGAGCUGCCGUGAGGACCAGACCUCCCUCUCAUCCUUGCUGAUGUGGCCCAAAGGAAAGCAGAGCAGCACGUUUGGCCCAACCUGUGCAGAUAGUUAACUUUCCAGCCUGAUAGGGCAAUGAAAGCUUUCUGAAACUGUGGUUCACAGUUUAUUCCAGGGGUCGGCAAAGCUGCAAAGCCUUGGGCCGGUAAACUGCCCCCGAAACCUUGGGGCAGGCCGGAGUAGGCGCAUGGGUGCGGGCGGGCGCACAUGCGAACAUCCCGGUUUCCUUGCUGCCAGAGGUGGCGGUGGAGGAGGUGUCCGCAGCUUCCUAUUGGCUGCAGGAAGCUCCUGCAACAAUAGGAAGCCAUGGCUGUGCCACACUGCACCAGUUUAGCUCCGUGCGGGGACUGGCUGAGUGGGCAGGCCUAGUUAAAUGACCACCCCCAGGGCAGAUGUGGCCCAGGGGCCAUAGUUUGCCAACCCCUGGUUUAUUCUGUUAUAUGACACAAUGGAAUAGCCCUCAUGUUGUGAAGACAGAAAGACAGGGAUAUCUGAGAUUAUUUAAGUAAUUAUUUUAUUAAAUGGCACUAAAUGCAAAUGAAGUUGCAAGUGUAUUUCUUAUGUCUUGUAACAGGCCAGUUCGGUUGCUUCAGUGUACCAGUAAUCCUGGCCACGCCAGCUGCGAUGUCUGUUCCUGAAAACAUGGUAGGUACCCUAUGCUGCUUAUAUUGUUGUUCAACUUUGUAUAGUAUGGAAUGGCGUUUCUAGAGGAAGUCAGAUAUAAAAGCUCAACUAGCUAUCAUUGUGAAAGACCUGUGUAGUUUAAACCCAGGCCUGCUACAAACUAGAUCCAGACUAAUUUAAAUUCCACUCUCAAAGGGUCUACUUUAAGCAUGAAAAUCUUUGGGUCCAGUUCAUAGAGAGAAGGGGCUGGAAGGGAAGAAUGGAAAACUCUUCUCCUACUGUUUGUCAUCCAAGAUAAUGGAAAGAUUUGAUAGGCUGUUUUUAUUUAUUUAGUGCAUUUAUCUUCUGCCCUUCUUCCAAAGAUCUCCAAGUGACAAAUGUGUUCUUCCCCCUGCCAUUUACUUUCACACAAAAACUGUGAGGUAAAGGUUAGACUGAGAGAUACCUACUGGCCCAAUAUUGCCUAGGGAGCUAAGUGGGGAUUUGAACAUGAGUCCAGAUCAACACUCCAACCUCUGCAACAAAAGUGGGGAACCUCCAUCCUGUGGGUCAGAUUUGGUAAGGUAGAACUCUCCAUUUUAACUGCAAGGCUGUAUUCUCCAAACCACACCCACCUACCCCACAUCUGACAUAAUAUGUGGUGUUAGGUGUAGGGGUAGAUGCCAUGCCCGGGGCUGGAAAGAAGUCCCUAUGCAUCAGUUCCUUGCUUCACCCACUUGUCAGUCACCUGGCAUCAUUAUGGAGAGAUCAAGAUUUGGCCUGCCAGGCCAAAACUGUUGCCCAAUCCCGCACUACACCACAUUAGCUCUUGUUUCAGCUACAGAUGAGGAUAAACAAAGGGCCCAUUACAGCCCCUGUAGUUAAUGCUAAGCUUUCCCUUGUGCUCAUUACUGCAGAGGACCUCAGCAUCGGAGGAAGACAAAGAAGAAAAAAUCCACACACUUGAAGCAAGACCCAAAAAUGUCACAGCAAAUGAUUUCUAGACAAAAAGGAGCAAGAAGUUCUCUACAACUACAAGACUCUCCUGAAGCUGGCAUCACUUGGUCAAUCUUCCAAGUACAAACUCUUCAGGACAAGUUCAAGAGGGGUUUUAAUUGAAGUUGCAAUGGGAUAUGGCAUCAUGCCUUGAAGGACUGUUUUGAAGGAAAAAAAUGUUACUGCACUGAAUAGGAGGUUUUAUUCCUUUACAUAUGGGAAACCGUUGGGGUUAUUUAAUAAAGGCAAAAUCCAAAUGCAGUACACAUCAGAUUAGUCUACCUGCUCUUGAAGGGUUUGAUUUUAUCCUUUCUUCUUUACAUUUGAUACGUUUCAUAAUUUUUGCAAGAAGCGGGCACACUAGGACCUUGCUAAGUACCGUAUUUUUCGCUCCAUAGGGCGCACCGGACCAUAGGGCGCACCUAGUUUUUAGGGGGGGGGGAUAAAGAAAAUUAUCCCCCCCCAGCCCCAAAGAGCAAAGAAGCCAAGACAGUGAGCGGGAUCCAUCCUGCUGGCUGUCUUGG